Long non-coding RNA from Thamnophis elegans (Western terrestrial garter snake), 2553 nucleotides. RefSeq lists it as uncharacterized. The record is from RefSeq and is a predicted model, not a curated record. The transcript is spliced from 4 exons. NCBI's taxonomy places the organism in Eukaryota, Metazoa, Chordata, Lepidosauria, Squamata, Natricidae.
UUCUCACCAUUCCAAGGACAGUUUGAACUUAUUUCAGACUGUAGAAACAUCUGCGCUCAGUUGGAAGUUGGUGCAGGAAAUCACAGAGAACCACGGAAUCAUUUCAAAGAGAUACUCCCAAGAAUUUGGCACUAUCUGCAAUGCUACUCAGGAAAGGAAAUGGAUGGGUUUUUUAUUUCAUCUGCAUUUUUGCUAUUGCUGUUUCGGUUUCUGUUGCCUGUGACAAAGAACUAAGUGAUCAUGACUGUCCUCCCAAGCCCAUAACUGUGGCGGAAGGUGAAUCGGUGAAAAUACCCCUCUCUGCUUCUGGAAUAAUUGCAAACGUCUGCAUUUGGAAUAACAUUACAUUGAUCUGGGAAACUGCGUGCCAUUUUUUUCACAGUGUUUGCCAACCACUUCUUCCUUAUUUCAGAGAGGACAUUUCCACAAAAGGAAAAACAUUUGAACUAAAAAAUGUUAGCUACAAAGCCAGUGGGCUUUACAGGCUUAUAAAUAGUUCUGAAAACUGUAUAGUGUCAAUGCAGAUCUCUGUACUAAGUAAGUUUGUAAAGGUGUUAUUUAGUGUGCAGAUGCUGAGGUUGGGUCUGCUGGGGGAGAGGGGAACGCCAUUGAUCCAACUCCCAUUUUUUUACAACUCCUGAUUACCCAAAAAUCAUGGCACAUAGUUGAGAAGUGGCAGUCUGAUUGCUAAUUCUUUUCCUGUUAAAUGUUUUUUUUAUUUAUAUAGUACUAAAAUCCCUGUAUCUGUUGGAUUAUUUGUAAUUGUCAAUUGGGCAAAACAGUGUGUUGUAAGGAAACAAUUUUUGAAUCAAGGCACCUUUCAUAGAACUAACUUAAAGAAUAUGUCCAAAAUCCAGAAACGAUAAGUCCCCUGGGACUGAAAUUGGGCAAAGCUGUGACUACUUCAAAGCUGUCAUACCAUCACUGCCCUAGUCAUCUGCUGUAUUGUGUUCAUUAUUUCUAAUACUUCCUGCCAGCUUCCUACUAGGCAAAUCAAUGGGGAAGAUGGUAGGAAGUCAAAAGUCGCUCUCAUUGAUUUUUUGAUUGCCCAUAGUCAUUCCGUUUUGGGUUUUUUUAAGAUAAACGCAAUAUAUUUGAAACAGUCACCCAACAGGUCACAGGUUAUCUACCGUUUAAAAAUUUCCCUCAAAAUAUACAAGCAGUCCUCAAAACAGAAUCGUAAUGGAGCCUGUCCAUUAUAAGUCAUGGCGGCGGUAAAGGGGUCACCCAUGUGACUGGCCUGAUUUUAUGGCCUUUUUAGUGCCAGUCAUUAAGCAAACAAAUUGUUUGCGAUGGACCAGUUUUGUGAAAAUGAUAAUAUUGCUUUACAGGCCUCUCUAAGCAGUUGACAGAGCCAGCCUAUUGCCCUCAACAAUCUGGGUCCUCAUUUUACCCGCCUCGGAAAGAUGGAAGGAUGAGUCAACCUUCCUGAAUCAACCAAAAGUUAUAAAACAUGCCCAUGUGAUUGUAGGAUACUGCAAAUGGUUAUAAAUGCAGGCUGGUUAUUAUGCUCCCAAAGUAUAGCCAUGUGACUGGGGAUGGGGUAUGUGUGGUCUUGGGGAGAUCCAUCAUAACUAAGUUGAUGGCUAUUAAGUAGAUAUAAUGGAUUCGUCCAGGAACAUCUGCAGAUUAUAGUUUAAAAGAUGAUGUCCACAACUGCGCAGUCUAAUCUCUGAUGGGUUUUUAUGUGAACUGAUGCACAUUAAAAAAUAGGCAUAGCUUCAUAUACUUUUGUGACUGCCAUCUUGAAUUCCUUGAUCAUACCCUGAGGGCAGCCAUGGAUUCAGAAGACCAGAAGGUGCAAGAUUGUGAUACACUAUUUUCGCUCUUUUUUCCCCCCUCAUUCUCCUCCCUUGUUUCUUCCAGGCACAAGACCUACCACUUCCUCUCCUCUUUCCGGAACCUCCAGUAUCCAAUUGGCAAAAUGGAAUGGUGUGGUGUGGCUCUGCUCUCUAGCAACAAUUCCAAUAUUAGCAAGUUUCAAUUAUCUAUGAAUGCACUGAAGACACCGCUUGCUGGCCUUGACGGACUUUCCUAUGCAUCUUAUUCUAUUUUUAAGUUAUUUUCUUACUGUGCAAUAUAGACUGUUCAUAGAGCUGAGGUGGUGCAGUGCAGUGGUGGGUUGUAGGCGGUACGACCUUGGUAAGCUACAAUGUGAUUUCUUUGGUAGGUACUAUUGCUUGCUCAAUAAAUUAUGGAUGAAAUAAAUCAACAGUACUGAAUCUUUCAUCUGAUGUGGAGAAGGACAGGAUGCAUAAAAUUGAAGUCCAAUCUAUGAUAAUGGGUUUAAACAAUGGCAAAUAAUAAGCAGGUUCACCUAACUCAAAAAACCACAGGUUGCUUCACCAUGUUUCAUUAAAUAAACCACAACUGGCUAGAUUCAUAAGGAAGUACCAAGCUGAACCCUGACAGUGAAUUAAACCAGGAAAAUUUUCUGGCUUAGACCAGAAUGCAUAACUUUGGAUCCCAGAGCUGCCUUUGCACCCAUCACAAAAUCCUGAGGGUCACCUCCAGUGACCACCAAACAUUUUCAGAGUAUGGCCCCCAUACCUC